Molecule: ribosomal RNA, 932 nt
Filed under: Polyphlyctis unispina
Lineage: Eukaryota; Fungi; Chytridiomycota; Chytridiomycetes; Chytridiales; Chytridiaceae
Description: bacterial SSU rRNA
Rfam family: Eukaryotic small subunit ribosomal RNA
Source: RNAcentral
AAACAAUUUGGACUGGAACUGCGAAGGUCAUUAAANAGUUAUNGUUUAUUCGUAGUACCUUAUACUCGGAAACCGGGUAAUCUAGAGCUAAUACACGCAAAAUCCCGACUUCUGGAAGGGAUGUAUUUAUUAGAUAAAAACCAACCCGGAAACGGUUCUUUGGUGAUUCAUGAUAACUUUUCGAAUCGCAUGACUUUAUGUCGGCGAUGGUUCAUUCAAAUUUCUGCCCUAUCAACUGUCGAUGGUAGGAUAGAGGCCUACCAUGGUUUUAACGGGUAACGGAGAAUUAGGGUUCGAUUCCGGAGAGGGAGCCUGAGAAACGGCUACCACAUCUAAGGAAGGCAGCAGGCGCGCAAAUUACCCAAUCCUGAUUCAGGGAGGUAGUGACAAUAAAUAACAAUCCAGGGCUUUUGUCUUGGAAUUGGAAUGAGUACAAUUUAAAUCUCUUAACGAGGAACAAUUAGAGGGAAAGUCUGGUGCCAGCAGCCGCGGUAAUUCCAGCUCUAAUAGCGUAUAUUAAAGUUGUUGCAGUUAAAUCGCCCGUAGUCGAAUUUUGGGCUGGGCUGGACGGUCGUGCCUCACGGUAUGUACUGUUCGGUCCGGCCUUUCCUUCUGGGGAGACGCCGUGCUCUUAACUGGGUGCGGCGUGGAUCCAGGACUUUUACUUUGAAAAAAUUAGAGUGUUUAAAGCGGGCAUUUGCUUGAAUACAUUAGCAUGGAAUAAUAGAAUAGGACUUUGGUUCUAUUUUGUUGGUUUCUAGGACCGAAGUAAUGAUUAAUAGGGAUAGUUGGGGGCAUUAGUAUUUAAUUGUCAGAGGUGAAAUUCUUGGAUUUAUGAAAGACUAACUUCUGCGAAAGCAUUUGCCGAAGGAUGUUUUCAUUGAUCAGGACGAAAGUUAGGGGAUCGAAGACGAUCAGAUACCGUCGUAGUC